GUAGGCUGCAACUCGCCUACAUGAAGCUGGAAUUGCUAGUAAUCACAGGUCAGCAUACUGUGGUGAAUACGUUCCCGGGCCUUGUACACACCGCCCGUCACACCAUGAGAGUUGAGAAUACCCGAAGUCCAUGUCAAAGUGGCCGAAGGUAGGCUUGAUGAUUGGGGUGAAGUCGUAACAAGGUAGC
Molecule: ribosomal RNA, 187 nt
Filed under: uncultured bacterium
Lineage: Bacteria
Description: partial 16S ribosomal RNA
Rfam family: Bacterial small subunit ribosomal RNA
Source: RNAcentral